CGGAGACGCGGGAGUGCCUUCGGGAACUGUAAGACAGGUGCUGCAUGGCUGUCGUCAGCUCGUGUUGUGAAAUGUUGGGUUAAGUCCCGCAACGAGCGCAACCCUUAUCCUUGUUUGCCAGCGAGUAAUGUCGGGAACUCCAGGGAGACUGCCGGUGAUAAACCGGAGGAAGGUGGGGACGACGUCAAGUCAUCAUGGCCCUUACGAGUAGGGCUACACACGUGCUACAAUGGCGCAUACAGAGGGCGGCGAGCUAGCGAUAGUGAGCGAAUCCCAAAAAGUGCGUCGUAGUCCGGAUUGGAGUCUGCAACUCGACUCCAUGAAGUCGGAAUCGCUAGUAAUCGUGGAUCAGAAUGCCACGGUGAAUACGUUCCCGGGCCUUGUACACACCGCCCGUCACACCAUGGGAGUGGGCUGCAAAAGAAGCAGGUAGUUUAACCUUCGGGAGGACGCUUGCCACUUUGUGGUUCAUGACUGGGAAAGUCGUAACAAGGUAACCACUUUCCC
RNAcentral lists this ribosomal RNA (507 nucleotides) under uncultured bacterium. RNAcentral describes it as "bacterial SSU rRNA". It matches the Rfam family "Bacterial small subunit ribosomal RNA", at positions 1001 to 1533 of the family's 1533-position model. The record is from RNAcentral.